GUGUGUUAUUAGUUUAAGCAGACUGUGAUUGUCUAUUGUUGUGACUUAGAUGAUGAUCAGAUCACAUUUUAUGACCAAUUUGUGCAGAAAUCCAUAUCAUUCCAAAGGGUUCACAUACUUUUUCUUGCAACUGUAUUUCGCUAUGUUUUCUAGGGGAUACCACUCCGAGGAUCUCGGGUGUUGUAAGGUGUCGGGAUCAAACAGCGGUUCGCC
Pelobates cultripes (western spadefoot toad) is the source of this 213-nucleotide non-coding RNA. NCBI's taxonomy places the organism in Eukaryota, Metazoa, Chordata, Amphibia, Anura, Pelobatidae. The record is from the annotation of a GenBank genome assembly.